Molecule: transfer RNA, 72 nt
Filed under: archaeon GW2011_AR15
Lineage: Archaea
Also listed under: 1 other name
Description: tRNA-Thr
Rfam family: tRNA
About the family: Transfer RNA (tRNA) molecules are approximately 80 nucleotides in length. Their secondary structure includes four short double-helical elements and three loops (D, anti-codon, and T loops).
Source: RNAcentral
GCCCCUGUAGCUCAGCGGGAGAGCGGCGGUUUCGUAAACCGCAGGUCGGGAGUUCAAUCCUCCUCAGGGGCU